This 72-nucleotide transfer RNA is filed under the name Chelonia mydas (Green sea turtle). It matches the Rfam family "tRNA". From Rfam's summary of the family: Transfer RNA (tRNA) molecules are approximately 80 nucleotides in length. The record is from Rfam by way of RNAcentral. Lineage: Eukaryota; Metazoa; Chordata; Testudines; Cheloniidae.
GGUUGUGUGACCUAGUGGAGAAAGUACUGGACUGGGACUCAGGAGAUCUGGGUUCUAUUCCCAGCUCUUUCU